AGAGUUUGAUCCUGGCUCAGGACGAACGCUGGCGGCGUGCUUAACACAUGCAAGUCGAACGGUGAACCAUUUCGGUGGGGAUCAGUGGCGAACGGGUGAGUAACACGUGGGCAACCUGCCCUCAGCUCUGGGAUAACUCCAAGAAAUUGGGGCUAAUACCGGAUAUGACUGCUGACCGCAUGGUCUGGUGGUGGAAAGAUUUAUCGGCUGGGGAUGGGCCCGCGGCCUAUCAGCUUGUUGGUGGGGUAGUGGCCUACCAAGGCGACGACGGGUAGCCGGCCUGAGAGGGUGACCGGCCACACUGGGACUGAGACACGGCCCAGACUCCUACGGGAGGCAGCAGUGGGGAAUAUUGCGCAAUGGGCGAAAGCCUGACGCAGCGACGCCGCGUGGGGGAUGACGGCCUUCGGGUUGUAAACCUCUUUCAGCAGGGACGAAGCGAAAGUGACGGUACCUGCAGAAGAAGCACCGGCCAACUACGUGCCAGCAGCCGCGGUAAUACGUAGGGUGCAAGCGUUGUCCGGAAUUAUUGGGCGUAAAGAGCUCGUAGGCGGUCUGUCGCGUCGGCUGUGAAAUCCCGAGGCUCAACCUCGGGUCUGCAGUCGAUACGGGCAAACUAGAGUAUUGCAGGGGAGACUGGAAUUCCUGGUGUAGCGGUGAAAUGCGCAGAUAUCAGGAGGAACACCGGUGGCGAAGGCGGGUCUCUGGGCAAUAACUGACGCUGAGGAGCGAAAGCGUGGGGAGCGAACAGGAUUAGAUACCCUAGUAGUCC
This 772-nucleotide ribosomal RNA is filed under the name uncultured bacterium. RNAcentral describes it as "bacterial SSU rRNA". It matches the Rfam family "Bacterial small subunit ribosomal RNA", at positions 8 to 796 of the family's 1533-position model. The record is from RNAcentral.